CAAAUCCUUCCCUCUCCCUCCCUUUACUGGUUGACUCUGUAUUCGUCCAGUUAGCACAUGUGCCCACCCACAAAGCGACAAGUAGAACUUCACACUCUCGCACCCUGUGCUCAUUCACCAACGCCAGCCACACGCAACACUGAGUCACACCGGGAUGCUAAUAAGAGCUGUGGCUUUCUCCUCUGCUUCCUCUUUUUUUGAGUUAACCUUCUCUGUGAGACCUUCUUUCCAGACGCCCCCCUUGACCCGCUCUCGUCAACCCCAGCCUGAACUGAUGCCAUCCAGCCCAGCUGCGUGAGAGGAUCACCAUCUGCUUGGCCAAAUCCCUCGCCAACUCACCCGUUCCCCAACGUCCCUCACUUCUCAUCUCAAAUCUUCCUUCCGCUUGCACAUCAGCAGGAAGAAUCACCUGCUGAUUUACCUCACUACCCGCUGUCAGAAUUACUGUGGGUUUUUGUUUUUUUUUUUCCACAGGGCCUAACAAAAAAAUCCCAAUUUUGUUUGGUCUUGACUCGUUUGAUUGUUCCCUGGUUCCCACAGCCGAGGCUGUAUUUUAAGUGUGGACACUUAAUUCUCUCGCGCAGACAACCUUGGCUACCAUUUUCUCCCUGACCCGGGCCACCGCACGACAAAGAUGCCGGCAUAAAUCAUACCACCUUUGUUGGUAUCUUGUCAGAUCUUUCAUAAUGUCCUUUUGUAGGGGGUCUGUCAUCUUUACAGCAACAUAAAACCGACAUUGUGCCAGCUUGACCUUAUACUGACUGUAGGCCCAAAAGAAAGACCAUAAAAAACGUUAGACUACAUUAACUUCCAUUGCCGCAUUCUUCUGUCACAACCCAUUUGCCUCCGAUUCUUGCCAUUACACAGCUUAGGAAAUAUUCUUAUUGUUUUUUGGUUUUUUUUCUUUUCUUUUUUUUUUCAGCAGCAGCAGCAGCUCUAUUGAGUUAGGUAACUCAAAACAGGAUGUUUCGCUGUGCAAUUACCGCUUACGAGGAAUGAUGGAGGAACAAACAGAAGCUGAAGUCACAAGGAGAAGUGAUUUCAGUUUCUCUCUGGGUGGAUGUCAAUUGUUUGACGUAAAUCUGCUUCCUGUCCUAUCACAGGGCCAACAGCUGACCCAUGGCUGCCACCCCUGUAUGCUUUU
Molecule: long non-coding RNA, 1144 nt
Organism: Hippocampus comes (tiger tail seahorse)
Lineage: Eukaryota; Metazoa; Chordata; Actinopteri; Syngnathiformes; Syngnathidae
Exons: 3
Source: RefSeq, a predicted model, not a curated record